UGGGGAAUAUUGCACAAUGGGCGCAAGCCUGAUGCAGCGACGCCGCGUGGGGGAUGACGGCCUUCGGGUUGUAAACUCCUUUCGCUAGGGACGAAGCUUUUUGUGACGGUACCUAGAUAAGAAGCACCGGCUAACUACGUGCCAGCAGCCGCGGUAAUACGUAGGGUGCGAGCGUUGUCCGGAAUUACUGGGCGUAAAGGGCUCGUAGGUGGUUUGUCGCGUCGUCUGUGAAAUUCCGGGGCUUAACACCGGGCGUGCAGGCGAUACGGGCAUAACUUGAGUACUGUAGGGGUAACUGGAAUUCCUGGUGUAGCGGUGAAAUGCGCAGAUAUCAGGAGGAACACCGAUGGCGAAGGCAGGUUACUGGGCAGUUACUGACGCUGAGGAGCGAAAGCAUGGGUAGCGAACAGG
RNAcentral lists this ribosomal RNA (411 nucleotides) under Actinomycetes bacterium. RNAcentral's name for it is "Actinobacteria bacterium partial 16S ribosomal RNA". It matches the Rfam family "Bacterial small subunit ribosomal RNA", at positions 355 to 776 of the family's 1533-position model. Lineage: Bacteria; Bacillati; Actinomycetota; Actinomycetes. The record is from RNAcentral.